Molecule: ribosomal RNA, 244 nt
Filed under: uncultured bacterium
Lineage: Bacteria
Description: partial small subunit ribosomal RNA
Rfam family: Bacterial small subunit ribosomal RNA
Source: RNAcentral
AGAAUCAACGCUGGCGGCGUGCCUAACACAUGCAAGUCGAACGAGAAAGUGGAGCAAUCCAUGAGUAAAGUGGCGCACGGGUGAGUAACACGUGACUAACCUACCCUCGAGUGGGGAAUAACCUCGGGAAACCGGGCUAACACCGCAUAACAUCUACGGAUCAAAUGCGUAAGCAGCUUGAGGAGGGGGUCGCGGCUGAUUAGCUAGUUGGCGGGGUAAUGGCCCACCAAGGCAGUGAUCAGUA